RNAcentral lists this ribosomal RNA (407 nucleotides) under uncultured bacterium. RNAcentral describes it as "partial 16S ribosomal RNA". It matches the Rfam family "Bacterial small subunit ribosomal RNA", at positions 30 to 526 of the family's 1533-position model. The record is from RNAcentral.
AUUGAACGCUGGCGGCAGGCCUAACACAUGCAAGUCGAGCGGAGCGGCGGACGGGUGCGUAAUGCAUAGGUAUGUGACUCGUAGUGGGAGAUAAGUACCGGAAACGGGCGCUACUACCACAUACUAUCAGUUGAGCCUAGGUCGGAUUAGCUAGAUGGUGGGGUAAAGGCCUACGAAGGCGACGAUCAGUACCUGGUGUGAGAGGAUGAUCAGUCACACUGGAACUGAGACACGGUCCAGACUCCUACGGGAGGAAGCAGUGGGGAAGAUUGGACAAUGGGCGCAAGCCUGAUGCAGCCAUGCCGCGUGUGCGAAGAAGGUCUUCGGAUUGUAAAGCACUUUAAGUUGGGAGGCGUUACCCACCGAAUAAGCACCGGCUAACUCCGUGCCAGCAGCCGCGGUAAUUC